Molecule: long non-coding RNA, 529 nt
Organism: Mauremys reevesii (Reeves's turtle)
Lineage: Eukaryota; Metazoa; Chordata; Testudines; Geoemydidae
Exons: 3
Source: RefSeq, a predicted model, not a curated record
CAACACCAAGACCCAAGAAGGAUGCCUGGGGCCCAGGGGAAAUGUGAGAGUUAUACGUGGGUCCUAAGGCCUGCGUCAUGGGGAGUAACGAUGCCUUCAGAGGAGCAUCUGGGGAGAAAUAUCCAUGAGGAAACUUCCUGGAGAUCUCUUCCUUAGCCAGGGCUUUUCCUACAGCAGGGAGCAAAUGGGCCUCGAAUAAGAACUUCAGGAUCUGAUCACAUAAGUUUAAAAGUUUCCAUUUCUUCUGGAGGAUAAAUCCAUGUCACUGUAUUUUAAAAUGCUUGAACUCCAAAAUACACCAACCGGCUACUGCUAGUAUUAUACAUAUAUCAAACAAGGAGACAUCCAAAAUGGUAAUAGGAUGACGCAGAGCUGCAUGCCUCCAAGGAAGCCCCAGGUUUCACAAUCGAGGCAGGUUCUCAAGAGAUCCAGUUUCCAGUAUCUUGGGAGAGAAGCACCAUCAAAACAUAGGAAACCCAGAUGUAAAUGCCUUUAAUGCAGAGCAAAGAGGAAUGGGUACUAAAAUCAA